Molecule: non-coding RNA, 22 nt
Filed under: Ovis aries (sheep)
Lineage: Eukaryota; Metazoa; Chordata; Mammalia; Artiodactyla; Bovidae
Also listed under: 1 other name
Source: RNAcentral
UGAGGUAGUAGGUUGUGUGGUG